CAUGCGCCGUGGAUGGGGCCAGGCACGGGUUCUGGGUGGAAUCGGACGGUUAGGCCACGUCCUGCUGUAGUAGGGGUUAGGCGGUGGGAUAGCCCCGCACCCCUGCAUCCCGCCACGUGGGGGUUCUCCCCUGCCACCCUCGAGCUAACGACGCUUUGAACUCUUAGUCUGGAAGGGCCUACUUAAGGGUUGCAGUAUUCCGUAAGGAGCGAGGAAUUCUUUUGAAGUGAUUCCUAAUUAUGUUGUAAACGGAGGAGAACUGGAAAAGUACCAGGUCUUCUAUUUUGUUUGGCCCACCAUCUUUGCAACUCGGGUGAAGUGGGAGGUUCAACUGGUCUGAGAACACUUGAUGUACUCCAUUGACUGUCUGAAUGAAAGGUUUUUAUGUUUCUGCAGAACACAACAACUGAUCUCCAUCUAUAACUAUAUUUUUUUAAGGCUCACGGGCCAAACGUUCAGUCCUUCUUUACCGAAUCAAGCUGGAGGCUGCGGGCAACGGACAGCACCCCCUUGUGGCCAACCCGAGGAAUUACCAUCACUUUAUUAA
This 547-nucleotide long non-coding RNA is filed under the name Suricata suricatta (meerkat). RNAcentral's name for it is "lncRNA (ENSSSUG00005004252.1)". Lineage: Eukaryota; Metazoa; Chordata; Mammalia; Carnivora; Herpestidae. The record is from RNAcentral.